CGGGAAUCUUCGGAUUCUAGUGGCGGACGGGUGAGUAACGCGUAAGAAUCUAACUUCAGGACGGGGACAACAGUUGGAAACGACUGCUAAUACCCGAUGUGCCGAAAGGUGAAACCUAAUUGGCCUGAAGAAGAGCUUGCGUCUGAUUAGCUAGUUGGUGGGGUAAAGGCCUACCAAGGCGACGAUCAGUAGCUGGUCUGAGAGGAUGAGCAGCCACACUGGGACUGAGACACGGCCCAGACUCCUACGGGAGGCAGCAGUGGGGAAUUUUCCGCAAUGGGCGAAAGCCUGACGGAGCAACGCCGCGUGAGGGAGGAAGGUCUUUGGAUUGUAAACCUCUUUUCUCAAGGAAGAAGUUCUGACGGUACUUGAGGAAUCAGCCUCGGCUAACUCCGUGCCAGCAGCCGCGGUAAUACGGGGGAGGCAAGCGUUAUCCGGAAUUAUUGGGCGUAAAGCGUCCGCAGGUGGUCAGCCAAGUCUGCCGUCAAAUCAGGUUGCUUAACGACCUAAAGGCGGUGGAAACUGGCAGACUAGAGAGCAGUAGGGGUAGCAGGAAUUCCCAGUGUAGCGGUGAAAUGCGUAGAGAUUGGGAAGAACAUCGGUGGCGAAAGCGUGCUACUGGGCUGUAUCUGACACUCAGGGACGAAAGCUAGGGGAGCGAAAGGGAUUAGAUACCCCUGUAGUCCUAGCCGUAAACGAUGGAUACUAGGCGUGGCUUGUAUCGACCCGAGCCGUGCCGAAGCUAACGCGUUAAGUAUCCCGCCUGGGGAGUACGCACGCAAGUGUGAAACUCAAAGGAAUUGACGGGGGCCCGCACAAGCGGNNGANUAUGUGGUUUNNUUCGAUGCAACGCGAAGAANCNUUACCAAGACUUGACAUGUCGCGAACCC
This 890-nucleotide ribosomal RNA is filed under the name uncultured bacterium. RNAcentral's name for it is "bacterial SSU rRNA". It matches the Rfam family "Bacterial small subunit ribosomal RNA", at positions 67 to 998 of the family's 1533-position model. The record is from RNAcentral.